GCCGAGGUGGCGGAAUUGGCAGACGCGCUGGGUUCAGGACCCAGUGGAGUAGAAUCCGUGCGGGUUCGAAUCCCGCCCUCGGCA
RNAcentral lists this transfer RNA (84 nucleotides) under Chloroflexota bacterium. Its description in RNAcentral is "Chloroflexi bacterium tRNA-Leu". It matches the Rfam family "tRNA". From Rfam's summary of the family: Transfer RNA (tRNA) molecules are approximately 80 nucleotides in length. The record is from RNAcentral. Lineage: Bacteria; Bacillati; Chloroflexota. RNAcentral also lists the same sequence under 3 other names.